UGUUAUACCAGGGUCCACUGCGACCCCCG
This 29-nucleotide small RNA is filed under the name Bombyx mori (domestic silkworm). Its description in RNAcentral is "ovarian small RNA-9161". Lineage: Eukaryota; Metazoa; Arthropoda; Insecta; Lepidoptera; Bombycidae. The record is from RNAcentral.